This is a long non-coding RNA of Hibiscus syriacus, 544 nucleotides long. RefSeq lists it as uncharacterized. Lineage: Eukaryota; Viridiplantae; Streptophyta; Magnoliopsida; Malvales; Malvaceae. The record is from RefSeq and is a predicted model, not a curated record. The transcript is spliced from 5 exons.
CCGGAAAUAUUCUUGUUCCAGCAUAUAUUUUAUUUUAUUAUUAAAUAAUAUGGUUGACUAAUAUAUAGAACUUCGAUUAGUUAGUGGUAUAUGCAUUUUUGUUGUUCAGUUGGCAUCUUCUUAUGAGGAUGAGAGCUCCAAAGGAAGGUUACUGUGAUCCUAUUGCACCUCUAGAGCUACCACAUUCUUACAUGCAUUUCGUCGUGUCUCUUCAACAGAUGAUCUGAGCAUGGAAAGGUUACCAUACAUUUCGUGGGGGAUUCUGGAAUUACUCCAGCAUGGGAAUGGACGCUCAAGUAUCUCAUGCUUUUCACUCUGAGCGAAAGUUGAAUCCAGAAAAGUUUAAAAACUAGUUUGCUAAUCAGAGCACCUAUGCAAAGCUCGGUUGUACACAAGGCUGAUUUACUGCUUCUGUUUUCCAUCCUUCGGAAACAAAGACUUCACCCUACCUUAUGUAGAUGAUGGCCUUCUCGAAGUUGGUUUUAGAAAUGCUUGGCAUGGACUCGUCUGUCUUGCUCCAAAGGGUCAUGGAACUCGGCUGGCA